AGAAACUCAAAUUGACGUGGAUUUUUGUUAAAUAAAAAUAUGGUAAAAUAUGGUAAAAUAUCAGUUUUUUCUCACUAUCCCUUUAGUCUGAACACUGUGUGUUUGUGUUUGUAGAAAGGAAACACAGCUCUUCACUACGUCUGUCAGAGGAAAAGUCAUCGUCUGGUUCCUCUGCUGCUUCACAGAGACGCUGACACCAGCAUCCAAAACAAUGACGGGGAGACGGCGCUGGACGUCGCCAUCAGACUGAAGUUCACUAAAAUCGUCUCCCUGCUGAAGACGCAGUGAUGGACAGACAUGUGGACAGAGACAGAUUUCUAGGUUUGAUUUAAUAAAAAGCAAAAAAUAGUCAUGUGAUCUUACUGUAAACAAACAUUAGGCCCCGCCCACCACAUGACCUCCUGUGGCUAAUGCUAACAUAAGCAUCCUAACACUUAAGUAACAUUUAUGAUAAGAGGUCAGUGUCAUGUCAUUAAUGAGGGGGAGGGACCAAUGAUCACACCCCUUCACAAUAAAAGCGUAUAAAAUCAAA
This is a long non-coding RNA of Solea senegalensis (Senegalese sole), 532 nucleotides long. RefSeq lists it as uncharacterized. Lineage: Eukaryota; Metazoa; Chordata; Actinopteri; Pleuronectiformes; Soleidae. The record is from RefSeq and is a predicted model, not a curated record. The transcript has 2 exons.